UACGUAGGGUGCGAGCGUUAAUCGGAAUUACUGGGCGUAAAGCGUGCGCAGGCGGUUCGUUGUGUCGGCGGUGAAAGCCCCGGGCUCAACCUGGGAAUGGCCGUUGAAACUGGCGAACUGGAGUGUGGCAGAGGGGGGUGGAAUUCCGCGUGUAGCAGUGAAAUGCGUAGAUAUCAGGAGGAACACCGGUGGCGAAGGCGGGUCUCUGGGCCGAUACUGACGCUGAGGAGCGAAAGCGUGGGGAGCGAACAGG
RNAcentral lists this ribosomal RNA (253 nucleotides) under uncultured bacterium. RNAcentral describes it as "partial 16S ribosomal RNA". It matches the Rfam family "Bacterial small subunit ribosomal RNA", at positions 524 to 776 of the family's 1533-position model. The record is from RNAcentral.